Molecule: long non-coding RNA, 87 nt
Organism: Nothoprocta perdicaria
Lineage: Eukaryota; Metazoa; Chordata; Aves; Tinamiformes; Tinamidae
Exons: 2
Source: RefSeq, a predicted model, not a curated record
UAAAAGAGGUUCUCCUAAAAAAUGCUCAACUGCUUCCAUGAUAGCAUGACCUACCAAGCCGUGAAGCGGAUAGCUGGAAUUCAUGAC